AACCAUUCUCACCUGCGGCUAGACCUGCGGAAGGAUCAUUACCGAGUUAUACAACUCAUCAACCCCUGUGAACUUACCUACAACGUUGCUUCGGCGGGAACAGACGGCCCCGUAAAACGGGCCGCCCCCGCCAGAGGACCCCUAACUCUGUUUUUAUAAUGUUUUUCUGAGUAAACAAGCAAAUAAAUUAAAACUUUCAACAAUGGAUCU
RNAcentral lists this unclassified non-coding RNA (210 nucleotides) under soil metagenome. RNAcentral describes it as "partial contains 5.8S ribosomal RNA, internal transcribed spacer 2, and large subunit ribosomal RNA". The record is from RNAcentral.